GUCUGAGGCCACACGGCCCUGAAGGCGCCCGAUCUCGUCUGAUCUGGGAAGCUAAGCAGGGUCGGGCCCGGUCAGGACCCUGGAUG
Molecule: ribosomal RNA, 86 nt
Filed under: Prolemur simus (greater bamboo lemur)
Lineage: Eukaryota; Metazoa; Chordata; Mammalia; Primates; Lemuridae
Source: RNAcentral